GAUGAAGAACGUAGCGAAAUGCGAUAAGUAGUGUGAAUUGCAGAAUUCAGUGAAUCAUCGAAUCUUUGAACGCACAUUGCGCCCCUUGGUAUUCCAUGGGGCAUGCCUGUUCGAGCGUCAUUUGUACCUUCAAGCUCUGCUUGGUGUUGGGUGUUUGUCUCGCCUCUGCGUGUAGACUCGCCUCAAAACAAUUGGCAGCCGGCGUAUUGAUUUCGGAGCGCAGUACAUCUCGCGCUUUGCACUCAUAACGACCACGUCCAAAAGUACAUUUUUACACUCUUGACCUCGGAUCAGGUAGGGAUACCCGCUGAACUUAAGCAUAUCAAUAAGCGGAGGA
Molecule: unclassified non-coding RNA, 337 nt
Filed under: soil metagenome
Description: partial contains 5.8S ribosomal RNA, internal transcribed spacer 2, and large subunit ribosomal RNA
Rfam family: 5.8S ribosomal RNA (bases 1-120)
Source: RNAcentral